GGCGGCAUCCUGGACCGGCAUUGACGCUGAUGAGCGAAAGCUAGGGGAGCAAACGGGAUUAGAUACCCCGGUAGUCCUAGCCCUAAACGAUGAAUGCUUGGUGUGACGGUAUCGAUCCCUGUCGUGCCGAAGCUAACGCAUUAAGCAUUCCGCCUGGGGAGUACGGUCGCAAGGCUGAAACUCAAAGGAGUUGACGGGGGCCCGCACAAGCGGUGGAGCAUGUGGUUCAAUUCGACGCAACGCGAAGAACCUUACCCAGGCUCGAACGGUGAUGGACAUCCGGCGAAAGCCGGCUCCCGCAAGGGCCGUCAUCGAGGUGCUGCAUGGCUGUCGUCAGCUCGUGUCGUGAGAUGUUGGGUUAAGUCCCGCAACGAGCGCAACCCUUGUCCUCUGUUGCCAUCAGGUUAAGCUGGGCACUCUGAGGAGACUGCCGGUGAUAAACCGGAGGAAGGUGGGGAUGACGUCAAGUCAGCAUGGCCUUUAUGUCUGGGGCUACACACGUGCUACAAUGGCCGACACAAACCGUCGCGAUGCCGCAAGGUGGAGCUAAUCGGACAAAGUCGGUCUCAGUUCGGAUUGCAGGCUGCAACUCGCCUGCAUGAAGUUGGAAUCGCUAGUAAUCGCGGAUCAGCACGCCGCGGUGAAUACGUUCCCGGGCCUUGUACACACCGCCCGUCACAUCACGAAAGCUGGCUGUACUAGAAGUCGCCGCGCUAACCCGCAAGGGAGGUAAGCGCCUAAGGUAUGGUUAGUGAUUGGGGUGAAGUCGUAACAAGGUAACCA
RNAcentral lists this ribosomal RNA (783 nucleotides) under uncultured soil bacterium. Its description in RNAcentral is "SSU rRNA". It matches the Rfam family "Bacterial small subunit ribosomal RNA", at positions 720 to 1502 of the family's 1533-position model. The record is from RNAcentral.